GCCGCCGCCAUGUUGGGCUGGAGGCACGCACGCUCCCAACGCUCUCUGGCUGCAAAUCACGGCGGGAGCGCCUCGGGCCUCUUGUCUUUUGACCCCGUCCUUGGAACCCGAGGAGACUUGCCGUUCCCGGGGGAGGGUGUGUGUGAGUCGGCCGGCGGAGGCCGUCUACGCCAUCGUCGGGGCGGGGGAGCCGAGAUUAGAGCAUCAGCCUGAGAGAAGUGGUGCUUCUUGUUCUCCGCUCUGCCUCGCAUCUUUCAGCGAGGCCUCGUACCUCAGUUUUCCCAUCCGUGAAGUGGAGCUGGGCCUGCCUGACUCAUUCAUUCAUCAGGUGGAGGCCUUGACGCUCUAGGAGCCCUUUCAAAGGACUUUGACUUACACGAAAUAGUACCUAUCGUUAUUCACUCCGCAGUAACCACCCGGAUUUGAGUGGCGGGUGUUUGCACAGUAAUUCAGCUUCCUCUUCACCCUCCUGCCAUUCGUCUUCCCCUCCAGUUUAUUUCCUGAAAGAGUUUGAAAUCAGCCUUGUCUAUUAUUGAUAAGCUCCUGUAGGUGUAUUUGGUAUUUCCCUUAAAACAUGCAGACCAAACGAAAGGCAAUAUUUUUCCCCCCACGAAGCAGUUAACUUGGUAGAGGCCACCCGUUGUAUGGAAGAGAAAGAGAGUCUCUUCAGGACAGGCAGUUUGGAUCCUGCUAAACCAGAAUAAGAAAUCUAGAACAUGGGCCGGGCGAGGUGGCUCACGCCUGUAAUCCCAGCACUUUGGGAGGCCAAGGCGGGCGGAUCACGAAGUCAGGAGAUCGAGACCAUCUUGGCUAAUACGGUGAAACCCCGUCUCUACGAAAAAUACAAAAAAUUAGCCGGGCGUGGUGGCGGGCGCCUGUAGUCCCAGCUACUCAGGAGGCUGAGGCAGGAGAAUGGUUUGAACCCGGGAGGCGGAGCUUGCAGUGAGCCGAGAUCACGCCACUGCACUCCAGCCUGGGCGACAGAGCAAGACUCCGUCUCAAAAAAAAAAAAAAGAAAAAAAAAAAAAUCUAGAACAUGGAUGUCCCCUUAUUUAGCAGACCUAGCUGAUCACACAAGGUCCUGUAUUGUUAGGCUGCAUCACAGGCCGCAAAGACCCAGGUAUCUAUCCAGUUGCUAGAAACCAUCCUAAGAGUUAGAUACCACUUUUCUGUUGGAAAUACAGACCAUUUCCUGAAGCCGUAUGGUUGAGGUAAAACAUAGGCCUUUUGCAGUCUUAUAUUUUGAGUAAGGCCAAACCUGCCUAGUGUUACAAAACCAGACAAAAAACCCAGGUACCCAGUCUUGCAGGAUAGAAAUGUGUGACUAAAAUGAAGCAUCGAUCUGAGAAGACUACAAAUGAGCGGGAAAGAUUGGACAGGAGCAUGCUAUACAUUAUUUAGAUUAAUGUUGAUAUUUAAGGAGCCAGGAUAUUGGUUUGUUUUUGAGGGGUGCCCAUCUACUUUAUGUAAGAAGCUAUAAACUACACUUCUUUCAGUUUCUGCUUAAUCCUUGCUCAAACAAGGAAUAAUUUCUUAUUCCAAAGUAGACAUUGGUACAUCUUUUACUAGGUACCUAAUUUGGGAUGAAGUCUGAUAAAGCUCCUUAGAAGUACUUACAGUACACCCUCACAAGGGUGUACCAUCUACCCAUGGUUUAAACAGAAAUUAAAAUUCUACCUUCGUGGAAAAAUUUGCCAAGUUUUAAUGGAUUCAGUGCUCAUUAAAAACUUUUAGCCUGUCUUGAUCUUUAACAUAAUUAUUGGUGUAAAACAAUGGCUUCUGUGGAAAAUUAAAGUUUUAGUGGUUUGCUAUUUGUAAAAUACAGGCUUUUUCAUGUAUCAUAUUAGCAUAUAAGCUGGCUUAAUCAUUAGUACUGAUCUUCAAGUUACUAAGACACCAGAUAUUUGUUACUUUGUAAUUUGAGUUUUUUUUUAAAUUCCGAAAUUGGCUUUUCGAUGUGUUAAAAGGACUACUUAUUAGAUGCUUGUUUUUAAAUUUACAUUCAAUUAAUUAAAGCUAGACUCUUUAUAUUCUUAGGCUUGGUAUACUAUUUGUAUGUUUUGUAGUAAGUGUAUAAAAAUAAUACCUUUGACUUUGUAUAAAAAAAAGAAAUCUUUCUUGCUUUAAAAGCCAUGUUGGAUUUGCAUUCUAGACCGUAAUAAAUAUAACUACUUUAACAUAAAAA
This 2185-nucleotide long non-coding RNA is filed under the name Pan troglodytes (chimpanzee). Its description in RNAcentral is "lincRNA". Lineage: Eukaryota; Metazoa; Chordata; Mammalia; Primates; Hominidae. The record is from RNAcentral.